This 497-nucleotide ribosomal RNA is filed under the name uncultured bacterium. Its description in RNAcentral is "partial 16S ribosomal RNA". It matches the Rfam family "Bacterial small subunit ribosomal RNA", at positions 28 to 507 of the family's 1533-position model. The record is from RNAcentral.
GAUGAACGCUGGCGGCGUGCCUAAUACAUGCAAGUCGAGCGAACGGACGAGAAGCUUGCUUCUCUGAUGUUAGCGGCGGACGGGUGAGUAACACGUGGAUAACCUACCUAUAAGACUGGGAUAAUUUCGGGAAACUGGAGCUAAUACCGGAUAAUAUUUUGAACCGCAUGGUUCAAAAGUGAAAGACGGUAUUGCUGUCAGUUAUAGAUGGAUCCGCGCUGCAUUAGCUAGUUGGUAAGGUAACGGCCUACCAAGGCAACGAUGCAUAUCAGAACUGAGAGAGAGAACAGCCACACUAGAACUGAAAAACGGUCCUGACUCCUACGAGAGGCACCAGUAGGGAAUAUUCCGCAAUAGGCGCAAGCCGGACAGAAGAACGCCGCGUGAGUGAUGAAGGUCGACUGGUCGUAAAACACUCUUACUAGGGAAGAACAGAUGUGUCAGAAACUGCUCACAUCGUGACGUUACCUAAACAAAAAGCAGCGGCUAACUCCGUG